AACGCUAGCUACAGGCUUAACACAUGCAAGUCGAGGGGCAGCAUCAUCAAAGCUUGCUUUGAUGGAUGGCGACCGGCGCACGGGUGAGUAACACGUAUCCAACCUGCCGACAACACUGGGAUAGCCUUUCGAAAGAAAGAUUAAUACCGGAUGGCAUAGUUUUCCCGCAUGGGAUAAUUAUUAAAGAAUUUCGGUUGUCGAUGGGGAUGCGUUCCAUUAGGCAGUUGGCGGGGUAACGGCCCACCAAACCAACGAUGGAUAGGGGUUCUGAGAGGAAGGUCCCCCACAUUGGAACUGAGACACGGUCCAAACUCCUACGGGAGGCAGCAGUGAGGAAUAUUGGUCAAUGGACGAGAGUCUGAACCAGCCAAGUAGCGUGAAGGAUGACUGCCCUAUGGGUUGUAAACUUCUUUUAUACGAGAAUAAAGUUAGCCACGUGUGGCUUUUUGUGUGUACCGUAUGGAUAAGGAUCGGCUAACUCCGUGCCAGCAGCCGCGGUAAUACGGAGGAUCCGAGCGUUAUCCGGAUUUAUUGGGUUUAAAGGGAGCGUAGGCGGGUUGUUAAGUCAGUUGUGAAAGUUUGCGGCUCAACCGUAAAAUUGCAGUUGAUACUGGCGACCUUGAGUGCAACAGAGGUAGGCGGAAUUCGUGGUGUAGCGGUGAAAUGCUUAGAUAUCACGAAGAACUCCGAUUG
This 693-nucleotide ribosomal RNA is filed under the name uncultured bacterium. RNAcentral's name for it is "bacterial SSU rRNA". It matches the Rfam family "Bacterial small subunit ribosomal RNA", at positions 32 to 715 of the family's 1533-position model. The record is from RNAcentral.